This 445-nucleotide ribosomal RNA is filed under the name Bacillus sp. (in: firmicutes). RNAcentral's name for it is "bacterial SSU rRNA". It matches the Rfam family "Bacterial small subunit ribosomal RNA", at positions 354 to 796 of the family's 1533-position model. Lineage: Bacteria; Bacillati; Bacillota; Bacilli; Caryophanales; Bacillaceae. The record is from RNAcentral.
GCGGGAAGUUUUCUGAUGAGAAGUCUGACGGAGCACGCCGCGUGAGUGAUGAAGGCUUUCGGGUCGUAAAACUCUGUUGUUAGGGAAGAACAAGUGCUAGUUGAAUAAGCUGGCACCUUGACGGUACCUAACCAGAAAGCCACGGCUAACUACGUGCCAGCAGCCGCGGUAAUACGUAGGUGGCAAGCGUUAUCCGGAAUUAUUGGGCGUAAAGCGCGCGCAGGUGGUUUCUUAAGUCUGAUGUGAAAGCCCACGGCUCAACCGUGGAGGGUCAUUGGAAACUGGGAGACUUGAGUGCAGAAGAGGAAAGUGGAAUUCCAUGUGUAGCGGUGAAAUGCGUAGAGAUAUGGAGGAACACCAGUGGCGAAGGCGACUUUCUGGUCUGUAACUGACACUGAGGCGCGAAAGCGUGGGGAGCAAACAGGAUUAGAUACCCCGGUAGUCA